Molecule: non-coding RNA, 26 nt
Filed under: Mus musculus (house mouse)
Lineage: Eukaryota; Metazoa; Chordata; Mammalia; Rodentia; Muridae
Source: RNAcentral
UGAAAAUAACCAAAUGGGACCUUAGC